RNAcentral lists this ribosomal RNA (456 nucleotides) under uncultured bacterium. RNAcentral's name for it is "bacterial LSU rRNA". It matches the Rfam family "Bacterial large subunit ribosomal RNA", at positions 1814 to 2279 of the family's 2925-position model. The record is from RNAcentral.
CACAGGACUCUGCUAAAUCGAAAGAUGCUGUAUAGGGUCUGACACCUGCCCGGUGCUGGAAGGUUAAGGAAGGUGCUUAGAAGUAAUUCGAAGGCAUUGACUGAAGCCCCAGUAAACGGCGGCCGUAACAAUAACGGUCCUAAGGUAGCGAAAUUCCUUGUCGGGUAAGUUCCGACCUGCACGAAUGGUGUAACGAUCUGGGCACUGUCUCAGCCACGAGCUCGGUGAAAUUGUAGUAUCGGUGAAGAUGCCGAUUACCCGCAAUGGGACGAAAAGACCCUGUGAACCUUUACUAUAACUUCGUAUUGACUCUGAGUAAAUAAUGUGUAGGAUAGGUGGGAGGCUUUGAAGCAGGCACGCUAGUGUUUGUGGAGCCAACGUUGAAAUACCACCCUUUGUUUACUUGGAGCCUAACUUCGAAAGAAGGACAUUGCGUGGUGGGUAGUUUGACUGGGG